This 268-nucleotide ribosomal RNA is filed under the name uncultured bacterium. RNAcentral describes it as "partial 16S ribosomal RNA". It matches the Rfam family "Bacterial small subunit ribosomal RNA", at positions 793 to 1055 of the family's 1533-position model. The record is from RNAcentral.
GUCCACGCCCUAAACGAUGGGCACUAGGUGUGGGAGGUAUCGACCCCUCCCGUGCCGUAGCUAACGCAUUAAGUGCCCCGCCUGGGGAGUACGGUCGCAAGGCUAAAACUCAAAGGAAUUGACGGGGGCCCGCACAAGCGGUGGAGCAUGUGGUUUAAUUCGACGCAACGCGAAGAACCUUACCUGGGCUUGACAUCCCUGGAACCCCUAUGAAAGUAGGGGGUGCCCCGAAAGGGGAGCCAGGAGACAGGUGCUGCAUGGCUGUCGU